GACGGGGGAUGCAAGCGUUAUUCGGAAUCACUGGGCGUAAAGCGUCUGUAGGCGGUGAUGCAAGUCACUGGUGAAAAACUCUGGCUCAACCGGAGGAAAGCCAGUGAAACUGCAUGACUAGAGUGUGGGAGAGGUAGAAAGAAUUCCCUGAGUAGCGGUGAAAUGCGUAGAUACAGGGAAGAACACCGGAGGCGAAAGCGUUCUACUGGAACACAACUGACACUGAGGUGCGAAAGCUAGGGGAUCGAAUGGG
Molecule: ribosomal RNA, 253 nt
Filed under: uncultured bacterium
Lineage: Bacteria
Description: partial 16S ribosomal RNA
Rfam family: Bacterial small subunit ribosomal RNA
Source: RNAcentral